AACGAACGCUGGCGGCAUGCCUAACACAUGCAAGUCGAACGAGACCUUCGGGUCUAGUGGCGCACGGGUGCGUAACGCGUGGGAAUCUGCCCUUGGGUUCGGAAUAACAGUUAGAAAUGACUGCUAAUACCGGAUAAUGUCUUCGGACCAAAGAUUUAUCGCCCAGGGAUGAGCCCCGCGUAGGAUUAGCUAGUUGGUGAGGUAAAGGCUCACCAAGGCGACGAUCCUUAGCUGGUCUGAGAGGAUGAUCAGCCACACUGGGACUGAGACACGGCCCAGACUCCUACGGGAGGCAGCAGUGGGGAAUAUUGGACAAUGGGCGAAAAGCCUGAUCCAGCAAUGCCGCGUGAGUGAUGAAGGCCUUAGGGUUGUAAAAGCUCUUUUACCCCGGGAUGAUAAAUGACAGUACCGGGAGAAUAAAGCCCCGGCUAACUCCGUGCCAGCAGCCGCCGGGUAAAU
This 459-nucleotide ribosomal RNA is filed under the name uncultured bacterium. RNAcentral describes it as "bacterial SSU rRNA". It matches the Rfam family "Bacterial small subunit ribosomal RNA", at positions 29 to 525 of the family's 1533-position model. The record is from RNAcentral.